UACAGAGGGCGCGAGCGUUGUCCGGAAUCACUGGGCGUAAAGGGCGCGUAGGUGGCCACUAUAAGGCCGCGGUGAAAGUUCGGGGCUCAACCCUGAAUCUGCCGCGGCGACUGUAGGGCUAGGGCACCGUAGAGGCAGAUGGAAUUCCGGGUGUAGCGGUGGAAUGCGUAGAUAUCAGGAGGAACACCGGUGGCGAAGGCGGUUCUCUGGGCAUUACCUGACGCUGAGGAGCGAAAGUGUGGGGAGCGAACAGG
Molecule: ribosomal RNA, 254 nt
Filed under: uncultured bacterium
Lineage: Bacteria
Description: partial 16S ribosomal RNA
Rfam family: Bacterial small subunit ribosomal RNA
Source: RNAcentral